Molecule: long non-coding RNA, 1122 nt
Organism: Brassica napus (rape)
Lineage: Eukaryota; Viridiplantae; Streptophyta; Magnoliopsida; Brassicales; Brassicaceae
Exons: 4
Source: RefSeq, a predicted model, not a curated record
CUGAACGACGAAUCCUUCCCCUUUCGUGUUGUUCUUCGUCGUUUCCACUUCUCCAACUGACGUCUCAUCUUCUUCUCUAUUGCUCCAUUGUAAAGUCAGCCACCAAUCCAUCUCUCUCACUAAGCCCCCUUCUUCACUCCUUCAAUCGUAAGCCAUCGAAGCGUUCUGGCUCCCUUCGUUUGUCACCCUCUCCCUAAACUAAUUAUAUAAACAUAUGGUGAUAUUCAAGAUCGAAAAUACUCCACAUCGUCAUCUCCAGAAGAAGUGUUAAUUUUGUUAAUACUUUUAAUAUUAACCUGUUAAUUUUCUUCCACAGGCAGAUAAACUCCAAAUUGAGGAGACAAUUAUAUAAAGAUGACGAGGAUGAAGAAGAUCAACAAAAGUAGGGCAGAAAGUAGAUCGGAGAAAGAAACAAGGAUAUUCAUCGUUCAUAUCUCCCAUUCCAUCCUCGCUGGCAAUGGAUUCUCCUUGAGUGUGCCCUCAAUGCGCCUCCUCUAACCAGCUCUAUGUCCCAGAGCUCCACCGCAUAGUGCUAAAAGCCAGAUCGACCUUUGUCUCUUUGCCUCUGUUUAUUCUGUCAGGAAAUCCACCUUCACCACAAGAAUCCUCGCCCUAAUCCCCCAACUAUGCGUCAGAAACAUUCACCUCAUCAAGAGUGAACUUUCUACACCAACAUUAAGCUUUUACAUGACCAAAAACAGAGUGAUGAUGCGUUGGAUCAUGACAUGACUUAUAUAGUAUUCAGAGAAGAUUCCAAUUGAUAUCCACCCAUGGAUGUCUCUCUGUCUGCUUAUCAACUUUGCCCUUCACGUGAACUUUGUUAGACCUCCCCUCUACUUAUUCCAAAAUUGAGCUCUUUAUAUAUUAUCUGUUUCUUUUACACUAUGCAAGUGUCUCUGAUACAUCAGUCAUAAUACCUGGAAGUGAUUCAGCCAUUGGAUUUAUAUUGAGUCUAUACUUAAUUCAUUUAUGGUGUAUCAAUACAAAAGUUUGGUUUUUAUGUAACACUGGAAUCUCCGAUCCGAUCGGGACUAGCUUAUAGAUUAUUGUAGCCGGCAUCGGCUCUAUACGCUCCCAUUGUUUUUUUUGUGAAACAGAGAAAGUAAAUAUAAAUUGAAAAUC